This 550-nucleotide unclassified non-coding RNA is filed under the name Aspergillus neoniger. RNAcentral's name for it is "partial contains 18S rRNA, ITS1, 5.8S rRNA, ITS2, and 28S rRNA". The stretch from base 186 to 339 matches the Rfam family "5.8S ribosomal RNA". The record is from RNAcentral. Lineage: Eukaryota; Fungi; Ascomycota; Eurotiomycetes; Eurotiales; Aspergillaceae.
CGAGUGCGGGUCCUUUGGGCCCAACCUCCCAUCCGUGUCUAUUAUACCCUGUUGCUUCGGCGGGCCCGCCGCUUGUCGGCCGCCGGGGGGGCGCCUUUGCCCCCCGGGCCCGUGCCCGCCGGAGACCCCAACACGAACACUGUCUGAAAGCGUGCAGUCUGAGUUGAUUGAAUGCAAUCAGUUAAAACUUUCAACAAUGGAUCUCUUGGUUCCGGCAUCGAUGAAGAACGCAGCGAAAUGCGAUAACUAAUGUGAAUUGCAGAAUUCAGUGAAUCAUCGAGUCUUUGAACGCACAUUGCGCCCCCUGGUAUUCCGGGGGGCAUGCCUGUCCGAGCGUCAUUGCUGCCCUCAAGCCCGGCUUGUGUGUUGGGUCGCCGUCCCCCUCUCCGGGGGGACGGGCCCGAAAGGCAGCGGCGGCACCGCGCCCGAUCCUCGAGCGUAUGGGGCUUUGUCACAUGCUCUGUAGGAUUGGCCGGCGCCUGCCGACGUUUUCCAACCAUUUUUUCCAGGUUGACCUCGGAUCAGGUAGGGAUACCCGCUGAACUUAAGC